UAACCUCUGACGAAAUUCGUGAAUGUUA
Molecule: non-coding RNA, 28 nt
Submitted as: unclassified sequences
Source: Rfam